RNAcentral lists this non-coding RNA (26 nucleotides) under Homo sapiens (human). The record is from RNAcentral. Lineage: Eukaryota; Metazoa; Chordata; Mammalia; Primates; Hominidae.
ACCCUGCAAGAUCCCUGAACCUGUAC